AACUCCCUUAUCGUAAGAGACACAAACUAAAACCACACCCAGGCUCCUUUGGCUUUGUUUCAUUUUUCCCUCUCAGGCUGCAAGAAAUCAGAGAGGUCGAGGACCAGAUGCUGGUGAGGCUGAGGAGAAAGGGGCCUGGCACCCGGCCCAUGCCCUGGAAGGACAAACAGACAGAGCUGACCAGGGCUCCCACAGCAGCUGGGUGUGUACGCGAAGAUCCUGUCUAUUCAGCAAAACCUCCAGGAGAGGCGCCGUCAGCUGGCUCCUUAGGGAUUCCUCCAGCCCCAGGCAAG
This 293-nucleotide long non-coding RNA is filed under the name Felis catus (domestic cat). RNAcentral describes it as "lncRNA (ENSFCAG00000047644.1)". Lineage: Eukaryota; Metazoa; Chordata; Mammalia; Carnivora; Felidae. The record is from RNAcentral.